AGGGUAUUCGGUGGAUGCCUUGGUGCUAAAAGGCGAUGAAGGACGUGGUAUGUCUGCGUUAAGCUUCGGUUAGUUGACAAACAAACUAUGAUCCGGAGAUUUCCGAAUGGGGAAACCUAGUUAAAUCUUUAACUACUAUAUGCUGAAACAAUAUGCGUAUUAGAGCGAACCUAGGGAAGUGAAACAUCUCAGUACCUAGAGGAAAAGAAAUCAAAAGAGAUACCCUUAGUAGUGGCGAGCGAAGCGGGUAAAGGCCAAACCAAGUAAUUUUAUUUCUUGGGGUUGUAGGAUUUUCGUAUGUCUGUGUGGUAGUAGAUAGCCGAAUCAUUUUGGAAUACUUGACCAUAGAAAGUGAAAGUCUUGUAGGCGAAAUCGAAAACAUGCAUAGAAAAAUUCCUGAGUACCGCAGGACAUGUGAAAUCCGGUGGGAACCUGGGUGAACCAUCAUCCAAGCCUAAAUACUAAUUAGUGACCGAUAGUGAACCAGUACCGUGAGGGAAAGGUGAAAAGAACCUCGGUUAGAGGAGUGAAAUAGAACCUGAAACCGUAUACCUACAAGCAGUCGAAGGCCUAUAGAUUGUAUCUAGGCUGACGGCGUGCCUUUUGUAUAAUGAUGUGGCGAGUUACCUUAUGUAGCGAGAUUAAGCUAAAAGAAGUGUAGUCGUAGGGAAACCGAGUCUUAACAGGGCGUAUUAGUUUCAUGAGGUAGACCCGAAACGGGAUGAGCUAACCAUGGUCAGGAUGAAGCAUGAGUAAAAUUAUGUGGAGGUCCGAACAGGUGGAGGUUGAAAACUCUUCUGAUGAACUGUGGUUAGGGGUGAAAGGCCAAUCAAAUUCCGUGAUAGCUGGUUCUCCCCGAAAGAUAUUUAGGUAUCGUCUCAAAUUACUUAGCUUUGGAGGUAGAGCACUGGAAAGUUUAGGGGGUCUAGCGAUCUACCAAAUCUUAUCAAACUCCGAAUGCCAUAGGCUACUACUUUGGGAAGCAGUUAUUGGGUGCUAAGGUCCGAUAACGAGAGGGAAAGAGCCCAGAUCAACAGCUAAGGCCCCAAAAUUUUGACUAAGUGGAAAAGGAUGUAAAAUAACUUAAACAGCCAGGAGGUGGGCUUAGAAGCAGCCAUCCUUUAAAGAAAGCGUAAUAGCUCACUGGUCAAGUUAUAUUGCGCCGAAAAUGUAACGGGGCUCAAGUCAAAUGCCGAAGCUUUGAAUUUACCUUCAUAAAUAUUUUAGGUAAAUGGUAGGGGAAGCGUCGCAGCGACUGCGAAGGAUGAUUGAAAAAACAUCUGGAGUCUCUGCGAGUGAGAAUGCCACAAUGAGUAGCGAUAAAGAGUGUGAGAAACACUCUCGCCGUAAACCUAAGGUUUCCUGGGGAAGGUUAAUCCGCCCAGGGUUAGUCGGGUCCUAAGUCGAGGUCGAAAGGAGUAGACGAUGGAAAACAGGUUAAUAUUCCUGUACCUGGUGUACUAGCAAUGAAUCAAGCGGGGACGAAAUAGGAUAGCUGAGCCACUUAUUGGAUUUGUGGUUUAAACUUGUAGGCUUAAAGGGUAUGACAAAAAGCUCUUUAAAAAGGCCGAGAAGUUAUGACGAAAUUUAUUGUAAUGUAAAUGAAGUUAGUGAUUCCAUGUUUCCAAGAAAAGCCGCGUGUGGAGCUUUGUACCAGCUCGUACCGUAAACCGACACAGGUAGGUAGGGUGAGUAUCCUAAGGCGCUUGAGAGAACUCAGUCUAAGGAACUCUGCAAAUUUGCACCGUAACUUCGGGAAAAGGUGUGCCUUUAUUAAGUGAAAAGCAUAGACGCUUAUAGCUAAACAAGGUCGCAGUGAAAAGGCGGUGGCGACUGUUUAUCAAAAACACAGCACUCUGCAAAACCGAAAGGUGAGGUAUAGGGUGUGACGCCUGCCCAGUGCCGGAAGGUUAAUGAAAUGUGUUAGUAUUUUUACGAAGCUCAUGACUGAAGCCCCGGUAAACGGCGGCCGUAACUAUAACGGUCCUAAGGUAGCGAAAUUCCUUGUCGGGUAAGUUCCGACCUGCACGAAUGGCGUAACGAUCUCCGCACUGUCUCAGGCUGAGACUCAGCGAAAUUGAAUUUGCUGUGAAAAUGCAGUGUACCUGCGACAAGACGGAAAGACCCCGUGAACCUUUACUAUAACUUGAUAAUGAUGUUUGGGUAAUUUUGUGUAGAAUAGGUGGGAGACUAUGAAUUCACUACGCCAGUAGAGUUGGAGUCCUCUUUGAAAUACCACCCUAAAUUACUUGGACAUCUAAUCUAAAUCCGUUACCCGGAUUAGAGACAUUGUCUGGUGGGUAGUUUGACUGGGGCGGUCACCUCCUAAAAGGUAACGGAGGCGCGCAAAGGUUUUCUCAACCUGAUUGGAAACCAGGUGUAGAGUGUAAUAGCAUAAGAAAGCUUAACUGUGAGACUGAUAGGUCGAACAGAUGGGAAACCAGGCUAUAGUGAUCCGGUGGUUCCGAGUGGAAGGGCCAUCGCUCAACAGAUAAAAGGUACUCCGGGGAUAACAGGCUUAUCACGCCCAAG
Molecule: ribosomal RNA, 2532 nt
Filed under: metagenome
Description: bacterial LSU rRNA
Rfam family: Bacterial large subunit ribosomal RNA
Source: RNAcentral